This 253-nucleotide ribosomal RNA is filed under the name uncultured bacterium. RNAcentral describes it as "partial 16S ribosomal RNA". It matches the Rfam family "Bacterial small subunit ribosomal RNA", at positions 524 to 776 of the family's 1533-position model. The record is from RNAcentral.
UACGGAGGGUGCAAGCGUUAAUCGGAAUUACUGGGCGUAAAGCGCACGCAGGUGGCUGAGUCAGUCGAUUGUGAAAGCCCUGGGCUUAACCUGGGAAUUGCAGUCGAUACUACUCAGCUAGAGUAUGGGAGAGGGUAGUGGAAUUCCCGGUGUAGCGGUGAAAUGCGCAGAUAUCGGGAGGAACACCAAUGGCGAAGGCAGCUCGCUGGGACGGUACUGACGCUGAGGCGCGAAAGCGUGGGGAGCAAACAGG